This 498-nucleotide ribosomal RNA is filed under the name uncultured bacterium. RNAcentral's name for it is "partial 16S ribosomal RNA". It matches the Rfam family "Bacterial small subunit ribosomal RNA", at positions 30 to 523 of the family's 1533-position model. The record is from RNAcentral.
AUUGAACGCUGGCGGCAUGCCUUACACAUGCAAGUCGAACGGUAACAGGUCUUCGGAUGCUGACGAGUGGCGAACGGGUGAGCAAUACAUCGGAACGUGCCUAGUAGUGGGGGAUAACUACUCGAAAGAGUGGCUAAUACCGCAUGAGAUCUACGGAGGAAAGCAGGGGAUCGCAAGACCUUGUGCUACUAGAGCGGCAGAUGGCAGGUUAGGUAGUUGGUGGGAUAAAAGCUUACCAAGCAGACGAUCUGUAGCUGGUCUGAGAGGACGAUCAGCCACACUGGGACUGAGACACGGCCCAGACUCCUACGGGAGGCAGCAGUGGGGAAUUUUGGACAAUGGGCGAAAGCCUGAUCCAGCAAUGCCGCGUGCAGGAUGAAGGCCUUCGGGUUGUGAACUGCUUUUGUACGGAACGAAAAGCCCCGGGUUAAUACCCUGGGGUCAUGACGGUACCGUAAGAAUAAGCACCGGCUAACUACGUGCCAGCCGCCGCCGUAA